Molecule: long non-coding RNA, 490 nt
Organism: Numida meleagris (helmeted guineafowl)
Lineage: Eukaryota; Metazoa; Chordata; Aves; Galliformes; Numididae
Exons: 3
Source: RefSeq, a predicted model, not a curated record
CUGAGAGAUGUAUUUUUCAAAUGAAUUCAUACUUAGGAUAUUGAUAACAUGUUUCCUACCCUUUCAUCAGUCUGAAUCCAGCUUUUCCACUGGUGGCUGCUUUGUGACUGGAAGAAAACAAAUGGAAUCUGACAGAAGAUUCCAGUUGAUUCCUUCAAUUUUCAUCAGAAACAAGUAAAAAGGGAAGAGCCAGCUUCACUGCGAGCCUGGCUAAAAACUAUUGUUGAAGCAAGACCUUCCCAGCAGCAAUUACUCAGCACAACAGACAUGUUUUUACUCACAACUGAAGAUCCACCAACCCUGCCCCAAGGGGAGAAUAGCUACUGCACCUGUCAGCACACAAAUACGUUUGCCAGGCCUCCACACACUUGCUAUGCAGUGCUGCAGCUUCCCUCCUAUCACUGGAAGAGAUGCCUCUCAGUCACAGUCCUCGCCUGAACCCCUACAGCCUACAGUCCCAGCACUUUCCCACCAUAUCCAAGUUGAAGCA